GAUGACCAACUUAGCCAGGUACUUGAGCAAACUUUCCCAUAAACAUGUACUCUCCCGACUUCAAUCAAUCCGACUCAGUCUUGAGAGAUUACACAUAACGUAGGUCGGUUGUUGAGAGCAGCAUGUUCGUACAUGAGGAAUUUGAUUUAUCGGCUUCAGGUUUUGAGAGCCAACAGGUACGUACAGUUUGUGCUAAGAAUUUUUAUGGGUAAUCAAUCUUAGGAGAGAAAGGAUUGUUGGCAUUUUUAUGGGUAAUCAACCUUAUGGGAAAGAACUGAUUUUUGUCUCUACUGAACAGUAGCACUCUUAACCUAUUUGAACAGAAAAUUUCAUAAACAUAAAAGCAGUAGUGACUUGACCAUGCAAUAAGCUAAAUUGUUAUUACGGUUUCUGUUGUAACAAGUUGAAGUUAUUCAAAAAAAAGUUGAAGUUUCUGUUAGCAGCAUCAACUUGUUUUGAGAUGUCAGAAAAAACUUCAGUUCAAGAUGUAGGAACAAUCAGCCAGCUUAACUGUCAGCCUAAAACUAUUCUCUGUUGCAUUUCAGUUAUGUCAAGCUAUUAUAAUUCACUCAGCAUGUGCAUUCAUGCAUUCCACUAAUUUGCACAUUGAAUUGCAAAUGUAAUUAAAGGAGGUAGGGUAUGGAGGGUGCUUGACAGGGAGGCGUGCAUCCGCUUCUUUGGGUGGGACGC
Molecule: long non-coding RNA, 690 nt
Filed under: Triticum aestivum (bread wheat)
Lineage: Eukaryota; Viridiplantae; Streptophyta; Magnoliopsida; Poales; Poaceae
Description: long non-coding RNA (TAES_LNC016849)
Source: RNAcentral